GGAUAACAUACCGAAAGGUAUGCUAAUACGGGAUAAUAUAUUUGAGAGGCAUCUCUUAAAUAUCAAAGGUGAGCCAGUACAGGAUGGACCCGCGUCUGAUUAGCUAGUUGGUAAGGUAACGGCUUACCAAGGCGACGAUCAGUAGCCGACCUGAGAGGGUGAUCGGCCACAUUGGAACUGAGACACGGUCCAAACUCCUACGGGAGGCAGCAGUGGGGAAUAUUGCACAAUGGGCGAAAGCCUGAUGCAGCGACGCCGCGUGAGUGAUGAAGGCCUUCGGGUCGUAAAACUCUGUCCUCAAGGAAGAUAAUGACGGUACUUGAGGAGGAAGCCCCGGCUAACUACGUGCCAGCAGCCGCGGUAAUACGUAGGGGGCUAGCGUUAUCCGGAUUUACUGGGCGUAAAGGGUGCGUAGGCGGUCUUUCAAGUCAGGAGUGAAAGGCUACGGCUCAACCGUAGUAAGCUCUUGAAACUGGGAGACUUGAGUGCAGGAGAGGAGAGUGGAAUUCCUAGUGUAGCGGUGAAAUGCGUAGAUAUUAGGAGGAACACCAGUUGCGAAGGCGGCUCUCUGGACUGUAACUGACGCUGAGGCACGAAAGCGUGGGGAGCAAACAGGAUUAGAUACCCUGGUAGUCCACGCUGUAAACGAUGAGUACUAGGUGUCGGGGGUUACCCCCCUCGGUGCCGCAG
RNAcentral lists this ribosomal RNA (690 nucleotides) under uncultured bacterium. RNAcentral's name for it is "bacterial SSU rRNA". It matches the Rfam family "Bacterial small subunit ribosomal RNA", at positions 141 to 851 of the family's 1533-position model. The record is from RNAcentral.